RNAcentral lists this ribosomal RNA (425 nucleotides) under uncultured bacterium. RNAcentral's name for it is "bacterial SSU rRNA". It matches the Rfam family "Bacterial small subunit ribosomal RNA", at positions 356 to 773 of the family's 1533-position model. The record is from RNAcentral.
GGGGAAUAUUGCACAAUGGGCGCAAGCCUGAUGCAGCCAUGCCGCGUGUGUGAAGAAGGCCUUCGGGUUGUAAAGCACUUUCAGCGGGGAGGAAGGCAAUACGGUUAAUAACCGUGUUGAUUGACGUUACCCGCAGAAGAAGCACCGGCUAACUCCGUGCCAGCAGCCGCGGUAAUACGGAGGGUGCAAGCGUUAAUCGGAAUUACUGGGCGUAAAGCGCACGCAGGCGGUCUGUCAAGUCGGAUGUGAAAUCCCCGGGCUCAACCUGGGAACUGCAUUCGAAACUGGCAGGCUUGAGUCUUGUAGAGGGGGGUAGAAUUCCAGGUGUAGCGGUGAAAUGCGUAGAGAUCUGGAGGAAUACCGGUGGCGAAGGCGGCCCCCUGGACAAAGACUGACGCUCAGGUGCGAAAGCGUGGGGAGCAAAC